GAUUCCACAGAUGCUGUUGGCUUUUCUUCUGCUCCUCCUGAGGACACCAAUCCUGCUCCAGAGGCGUUUGCUCAAACGGGCUCCAGAUUCAGAUGCCUGGCACGGUCCUCCGGAGAAGCCCCCACCAGUCACGAUUGAUGGUCACAAACACUACAAAAUCGACGCUGUUCUGGACUCUCGCUUGCUUCGCAAACGAUUGCAAUAUUUGGUGUCUUGGGUGGGGUAUCCUUCAGGCCAUAAUCAAUGGGUGUAUUCUGAACAUGUAUUGGCUCCUGAGCUCAUUGCUGCUUUUCACAAGGCUUUUUCUCACAAGCCGGGGGGGAGGGGCUCUUUUUGGAGAGGCAGAGUGUAAGGUUGUUUCGGAGCUUGGAGCUUGCUUCAACCUUGGCACUACAUUCUUGGUUCUGGGCGUCUUGCCCGGAGCUAUCGUUAUCUCUUGCUUAGCCUUGCCGCUUACUUGCUUGCUACUGUCCUGUGUGAACUUGCUCCUGGGAAUAGUAAGGUGGGAAAGAAGGUUUGUUUAUGUUGGGGUUUUCGCGGGAAAACUCAGCCCGUAAAAAGCGGCUGUUUGGGAGAGUCUGGUUAGAAUUCGCAUUGUCUGUAGAAGAUCAUGAUUGCCAGAUCAAUAAAGAACUAUUAAGGUUA
Sphaerodactylus townsendi is the source of this 645-nucleotide long non-coding RNA. RefSeq lists it as uncharacterized. The transcript has 2 exons. Lineage: Eukaryota; Metazoa; Chordata; Lepidosauria; Squamata; Sphaerodactylidae. The record is from RefSeq and is a predicted model, not a curated record.